Corapipo altera (White-ruffed manakin) is the source of this 1077-nucleotide long non-coding RNA. RefSeq lists it as uncharacterized. Lineage: Eukaryota; Metazoa; Chordata; Aves; Passeriformes; Pipridae. The transcript is spliced from 3 exons. The record is from RefSeq and is a predicted model, not a curated record.
UUUUGAAGGGGAUAAAUGUAAGCAAAUGCUGAACAACAUGCCGAUUCUGAAGGCACAGAUCCCCUCCACAGAACUGCAAAUUGAAGACUCAAGGCUCCUGUUUUGUUGAAAAGGGACUUUUGAGCCCAACAAGGGGUGUACGCCAGAAAAUCCUGUGGUCAGCCCUGAAGGGCAAAACAGAUCUCUGCUGAGCAGAGCAGCAGAGGAAGUGUCAAAGCUGCACAUUGGAGAUGGGGAAGAAAAAUCUCACCUUGGAUUCAGGGACUGGAAUUCAUCAUAAACUCACACUUCAGCCUUCUUCUCCCAGGAGGAUCAGCAUCGGGGUAGAGGCACUAUGGGACAAUUCCUUUCCUGGGACAAGGGUAGACACAGGAGAACUCGAGCUUUUAUUACAAGCUGGAAAACUGAAACCCAAAGGUGGAAAUCUGUUACCAGUGCAUUUUUUUUUUUAUAAAAUAGUUUAAAAGAGCUUAUCUAAAUUUAAAUAUCUAGCUUUAAGCAGUUUAUUUCCUUGCACAACAAACUAAACAGAUGAUUCAAGAGCAUGUAAAAAUUCAGCUGCUCUGUUGGCAUUUGAAUGGUUUGUCCUCACAUGCAUCAGCAUCCCUUUACUUACAAUAUUUCAUCCCUUCUGUUUGCAAAAUGGGUAGGGUUUUCCCAGGCAGAUACUUUGUCUGGACUGCACCAUAUUCGAUCUUCGAAUAAUCAGUUCAAACUGCAAGUCAAACACCUCUUCUACUCCAUUCUCUGUAAUUGAUUCAUUAUUUCUCUCAAAUUCUUUGGCUGCUUCAUGUCUUUUUGCCAGUGUGAUGCAUAUUAAGCAAUCAGGUCAUUCCAGGUUGCUUUUGUUUGUGUUACUCCUAUGAAUUCAGUUUAUAUUUAACCCUGGGAAUAACAGACAUAAAAAAGCCAACACCAAAAAAAGAAGGGAGGAUGCAUCCAGUGCAGUCAAUAUCAUGUCCAGUCACAGAGUUAGGAGGGGACAGGAUGAUUGAAGGGAAUGAUAAAGGGCACGAGCUUCUAGUUUUUGGAAUUGGUUUAGGUUUGAUAAAUCAGAAAACUGUUACCAAGUAAGAG